Molecule: ribosomal RNA, 3727 nt
Filed under: Triticum aestivum (bread wheat)
Lineage: Eukaryota; Viridiplantae; Streptophyta; Magnoliopsida; Poales; Poaceae
Description: partial small subunit ribosomal RNA
Source: RNAcentral
GUCAACUGCCGUGUCCUCGACUCAAAGACGGCCGCUUUCCAGGGUGCCCACCGCAAAAGGCGAAGCAAACCCACCCACCGCCGGCGAGCGACCGGCCGGUCUUUCAUCGCCGCUGCGAGCGCCCCCCCAGCUCCCCGUCGAGCCAGCGAGCCGCGAUGGGGAACGGGGAGAUCGAGGCCGCGGAGGAGGGGCUGCCGAUGCCGGCGCCGCCCGUUGGGCGCAGGUACCGGCCGGUGGGCUCCGAGGACAGCGCCGUCAUCCAGAUGACCUCCAUGGAGCCCGCCCCCGGCGGCUCCACCUCCGUCACCGGUCACGACGCCGUGACGCCCCAGCCGCCUAGGAACUUUAGGCCUGGUGGUGCUAAUCUAACUAUUGAUCCAAGCAUGCAAGAAGGUUCUAGUGAUCAUGCUACAUCCAGUGGACCUCAAAGGGAUUCAAAGCUGGAGCUUUUUGGGUUUGAUUCACUUGUGAAUAUUUUGGGCCUCAAGAGCAUGACAGGAGAACAGGCCCAAGCCCCUUCGAGUCCUAGGGAGGGAGAGGAUAUAGCAAUCACCAUUGGACGUCCAAAGGAAACUGGACCUAAGUUUGGUACAAUGAUGGGUGUCUUUGUUCCAUGCUUGCAAAAUAUCUUGGGAAUCAUUUAUUAUAUCCGUUUUACCUGGAUUGUAGGUAUGGCAGGCAUAUGGCAAUCACUUGUUUUAGUCUCAUUGUGUGGUGCUUGCACAUUUUUAACCGGCUUAUCAUUAAGUGCCAUUGCAACGAAUGGGGCAAUGAAGGGUGGUGGACCAUAUUAUCUCAUUGGUCGUGCGCUUGGUCCUGAAGUUGGAGUUAGUAUUGGAUUGUGUUUCUUUCUUGGAAAUGCGGUUGCUGGAUCCAUGUAUGUUCUGGGUGCUGUAGAAACCUUUUUGGAUGCCGUUCCUUCUGCAGGAUUGUUUCAAGAGAGUGUUACAGUGGUCAACAAUACAUUAAUAAACGGUACAGCAACAGCUGGCACAGCGACUAUAUCGACACCCAGCUUGCAUGACCUUCAAGUAUAUGGUGUUAUUGUGACCAUACUGCUCUGUUUUAUUGUAUUUGGUGGUGUCAAAAUCAUCAACAAGGUUGCACCUGCCUUUUUAAUACCAGUACUCUUUUCACUGCUGUGCAUAUAUCUUGGUGUCUUCAUUGCACCGAGACACAAUGCUCCAAAGGGAAUCACUGGGUUGCGUCUAACCUCACUCAGAGACAACUGGGGUUCAGAAUAUCAACGUACAAACAACGCUGGAGUUCCUGAUCCAAACGGUUCAAUAUAUUGGGAUUUCAAUGCUUUGGUAGGUCUCUUUUUCCCAGCAGUCACUGGAAUUAUGGCUGGUUCAAACCGAUCUGCUUCACUCAAAGAUACACAGCGUUCAAUACCAGUUGGAACAUUAUCUGCAACUCUUACAACAACUGUUAUGUACUUGUUAUCUGUGCUGUUGUUUGGAGCUUUGGCCACAAGAGAAGAGCUUCUAACUGAUAGGCUUCUUACCGCUACAGUGGCAUGGCCUGCACCAGUAGUGAUUUACAUUGGUAUCAUCCUGUCCACUUUAGGUGCAGCGCUACAGUGUUUGACAGGGGCUCCAAGGUUACUAGCAGCAAUAGCAAAUGACGAUAUCCUUCCAGUCCUUAAUUACUUUAAGGUUUCUGAAGGAGUCGAACCUCACGCAGCUACUCUAUUCACAGCAUUAAUCUGUAUUGGAUGUGUGAUUAUUGGGAACUUAGAUUUAAUCACACCCACUAUCACUAUGUUUUUUCUGUUGUGCUAUGCUGGUGUGAACCUGUCGUGCUUUCUGCUCGACUUACUUGAUGCUCCAAGUUGGCGCCCUCGAUGGAAAUAUCACCACUGGAGUCUUUCACUUGUUGGUGCAUUGCUUUGUGUUGUUAUCAUGUUUUUGAUCUCCUGGUCUUUCACUGUUAUCUCCCUUGCCCUUGCAAGCCUCAUCUAUUACUAUGUGAGUCUAAAAGGGAAGGCUGGAGACUGGGGAGAUGGGUUCAAGAGUGCUUAUUUUCAGUUGGCAUUGCGAAGUCUCAGAUCGCUAGGAGCAAACCAAGUUCAUCCUAAGAAUUGGUACCCCAUUCCUCUGAUAUUAUGCCGUCCUUGGGGUAAACUUCCAGAAAAUGUCCCUUGUCAUCCAAAACUUGCCGAUUUUGCUAAUUGUAUGAAGAAGAAGGGCCGUGGUAUGUCAAUAUUUGUCUCAACAAUUGACGGUGAUUAUCAUGAGCUGGCUGAGGACGCUAAGACUGCCUGUCAGCAGCUGGAGGCCUACAUUGAGUACAAACAAUGUGAGGGUGUUGCAGAGAUAAUCGUAGCACCUUCGAUGUCUGAGGGCUUCCGCAGCAUUGUUCAGACGAUGGGCCUAGGGAACUUGAAGCCGAAUAUUGUUGUGGUGCGGUACCCUGAGAUUUGGCGCCGUGAGAAUCUGACAGAGAUACCGUCAACAUUUGUGAGUAUAAUAAACGAUUGCAUCAUUGCUAACAAGGCAGUGGUUAUCGUGAAGGGUCUUGAUGAGUGGCCUAAUGAGUUCCAGAGACAGUAUGGGACUAUUGACCUGUAUUGGAUUGUGAGAGAUGGAGGAUUGAUGCUUCUUCUGUCUCAGCUCCUGCUCACAAAAGCGACCUUUGAAAGCUGCAAGAUCCAAGUCUUCUGCAUAGCUGAAGAGGACACUGAUGCUGCAGAGCUAAAGACUGAUGUCAAAAAGUUCUUGUACGAUCUUAGGAUGCAUGCCGAGGUCAUUGUCGUGACUAUGAAGUCAUGGGAAUCUCACAUGGAGAGCAGUAGCAGUGGUGCUCAGCCAGAUGACUCCCAAGAGGCCUACACAAGUGCACAGCAAAGGGUCAGUGCAUACCUUUCCGAGAUGAAGGAAACCACGGAAAGAGAAGGACGGCCGCGGAUGGUGGAUGGGAAGCAAGCUGUUGUGAAUGAAGAAAAGGUCGAUAAAUUCCUCUAUACAAUGUUUAAGUUGAACUCCACAAUACUGAGGCACUCCAGGAUGGCAGCUGUGGUGCUAGUGAGCCUCCCUCCGCCACCGCUGAAUCAUCCUGCAUACUUCUACAUGGAGUACAUGGAUCUGCUUGUAGAGAACGUCCCACGCAUGUUGAUAGUUAGGGGAUACAGAAGAGAUGUUGUCACAUUUUUUACUUGAUCAAAUAUAAUACAGUCUGAGCUCUUGUGCCCUCCUAGCAGCAGAAUGGAUACACAGAUUUGCAGAAUUCACCACAACUGCAGUUGGAAGGCCUCUCAUUGACAGCUAUCUUAUGAGAUACACUGGGUGGUUAUUGCAAUAUUAGGUACACAAACAUUAGUAUAUUCAUUCUUUUACUGGACACAAAAGAGAUGAAUAUUGGGACAUUACAAAUUUUGUAGCCCUGUUCUCCAUACCUUGAUAGUUUUAUAGAAACACAAUGCCUCCUAUUUUUCACCGGAACAGUAGCGAUAGUGAUCCUGUUUGUGUUAUUUAACAUUAUCUGUACACGAUCUGAGAUGCUGUGCAACUGUUGUUGAAAGGGAGCAAUACCAAUGCUAUAAUUAGAGAAUAUUCUGGUAAUGCCCGAUGCCGAUACAUCUCUUGGGAACAUCAGCUGAUAUGAUGUUUUACUGGACUUGUGUUGACAUACUAGGAAGUCUUUAUUAUGCAUUGCACUGCUGUUGUUGUCACUACUGAGAGUUCUUCUGUCAAAUACAGAGUAUAAUAAAUUUUGUUGGUGUGAA